UCAAAUUCAUCUACACGACAUCUAACAAUUUCCUUUCGUCCAUUUACACUUGCAUCAUGUAUGAGUUGGAACACUUCUUUUCUACGGUUCAAAAUUGCAUGUGAAAAUAUGCCUCUUUUAUUUUUAUCAAUAGCCCAUAAGAGGUCAGGGUUAGCUUUCCUCAUUGCAUCUAUGAACUCAAUAUUUCCAUGCUUAGCUGCUUGUAACAUGGCAUCGUAUGCUGAAGCCUCUCUCAGUUCAGAUUCCUUAAAUUCUUGAAUUUUUUUGUACAAGCAAUUCAAUAUUUCAAGCACUAGACUGUGGGUCAUUUUCUGAUCGUAUAUUUCUUUUAUUACUGGUGAUCAUAGAAUUGGAGAGAGGGAAUUGAUUAGUGCUCAAGUCAAUAUAAGUUAAUUGAUACAACAACACUGUAGAAAUAUACUACUUUAUUUCAGCUAGUGCAACUUAGAUGAUAAAAGACCGUAAAAUACUUGAUAUGUUCGGGGGUAGAUUUAAACUUACAAAUCCCUACUACUCUGCAACUUAUUAGAUGGUGGUAGCACUUAAUUUUGGUAGCAUCGAACACUAGCUAGCACUUUACUUUGAGUUUUGACAAGCACCAAAUUGAAUUUGCCGAAAUCGGUUUUUUUCGGCAAUGAUUCAGUCCGACAACGAUAACCAUCGGAUCUUGACUGUACACUUAAAAAAACAUAUUUAAUCUUUAGCUUUAAAAAUACCAAACUUGAAUUUGGAUCGUCCAAUCAUGAUCAGACGACCACUAACGAGUCCUAACAACCACACUCCAUCGGCUUAUAACAAACACAUUGGAAGCAGAAGGUGCACUGAUAUUCCACAUUGUGUAUGAUAAGAUUUAGUAAAGUUACACACCAUGCGCGAUAUGAUUUGUCACGCACCAUAGCCAUCAUUAUCAAAACACACACUCUACUAUUCUUAUACUCCCUCCGUUCCAUUUUUUUUUUUAAUAUGUGUGAAAUUUACAAAUGACUAACUUAUUUUAGGACGGAAGGAGUACUAAAUUAUAACUAUUUAACUAAAAUUUCUAUAUGAAUAACUUCCUACUAAUAAAUAAGGGAAAAAAAUUGAAGACAAAAAGUUUUCAAUUUUGAUCGACUUACCAGACAACUUUAAUCUUACUAAAUCCUGAAAUGACAUGUGAAUAUGUAUAAGUAUCUGACCUGAAAAAGAAAGGCACCAAUAGUGAAAAAAAGAGAGAAUAGAUUAAAACAUAUGACAUGAAAAAACAUGAUGGCAAAAAGUGAAUGAAGCAAGACCAACACAACCUACCAAAGCGAUGUACUUUCGAAAUUUUCAAAAUAUUGAACAUCCAUCCAACAAUUGAACAAAAAAUUAAACGUAUUGACUACAUAAAUUCAAUAAAUUAUUUGUUAUCAAGUUAGAUAAGUCGUUCAAUCAAUUAUCAAUACCUGUGAAAGAUGUUUUGGUUUUGAGCUGUUUUUCCUGUGGAACAACGUUUGUUGCAAUCUUUCUUUCUGGUAAUCUCAAAACUGGAAACUAAAAUAGAUUAGUCUUGGCUCUCCAUUAACAUUAAAUACAAAAUAAAUAUUUCCAAUUGGUCUAUAGGAAACACUUAAGUAUAUUUUUCCAUACAUAAAUUUAUCUACCAAUAGUCAGAGUAUACAAAAAAGAUAAAACUUUAGAUCACUUGUAACACGAAGGACAUAAAAGGUAACAUUGAAAUUCGACAGAUGGUUUAGCUGUCAACAGUUUUCAUUUUGUAUUUAUGGUAAUAAUCAAUACACAGAUAAAACGAAUGAAUAAUGCUAUAUAUCCCGACACUUUUUUCCCGACAAAUUCACGAGCGUAUGAUACAACAUGACCAUCGCCUCUUUUUCUUUUUUUUCCAGAACAUUCACUUCAUGUAAAGGGAAGAUCUGACUGUGGAUAACAGUUCGGGAAGCUCUCGGGUUAAAAUGUUUCGCAUUAAAUAGCAGUACUCAAAACGAAUAUGGAGAGUGCUUCUUAUAGCGAAAGUUUUUCUCGCGAACUCAUCACAGGCAGUUAAUAUAUAUAUACACGCUUUAGCAUAUCACUCUUUUCUAUCCCACCAUUUGUUUACUCCACCAAAUGAAAAUCCAAGGACAAACACAGUUUGUGAUAACUUCAUGAUGCUAUACCUUUCGAAAAAUAGCAUUACUCAAAGAAUAUAGACUUACUUUUGUAAAUGAAUCGCCGUAUGAAUCCAUAUCUGCUGCCACUUGGGAACACAUGAGGCAUGCGUGCCAAUGCGUAUAAGGGUUGCACACCAUCUGAUUCAGUUUCAGAUUCGGAUUUGUGGGCAAGUGGCAAUUGCUGGAAUCGUUGGAGUAAACUCAAAGCCACAUCUAUUUGACAACAUGUCAGCAUUUCAUUAAAAAAUCAAUUAAAAUGAAUUAAACUUUAAUUUAAUCAAAGGCAUAUCACCACAUACCAAAUAUUUCUGCAUUGAUGCACCGUGUUAGAAGCAAAACACGGCUGUGAAAUUUUUUAUCGUCCAUGUCUUCCGACGUAUAAGUUUUAGCGAAAAGAUAACUAGUCAUAUCUUUGUGUCCCUUAGCAGCCGCAAGAAGAACAGGAAUUUCACCAUCAUUAUUCUUCAUAUAUAACAAGUCUUUUCGGAUGACUUGCCCUCCCUUCAUCUCUACCAAACACUUUGCAAUAUUGGUAUUUCCAGUCAACUCAGAAACAAGAGCUAGGGCUGUGUAACCACGAUUGUCUUUCAUUUUCACUAACUUAUCUUUCCCUUCCUUCACCAAAUUCUUCACAAUUUCUUCGUGACCAGCAAUCACUGCAACAUGAAGAAUAGUCCUUCCCGAAGAAGACAUAGAAAACAUAGAUGUUUCAUCAUUAUUCAUGAAUGCUUUUGCAUCUUUCCAAUUACCGCUCUCAAUAAAUCUAUGGAGCGAUCUAUGGUGAUGGAGACUAUCGUCUACCACACCUGCAAAUUAACAUAUGUUCUAAGCUACAAACAUUUAUAUAAGAUACUCAUAAUUAAAUGAAAAAGAUAUUUUGACACAUAAACUAAUGAAUUUAACAAAGACAUAGAUGAUUAACGGAGAUUGAGUAUGUUGUUAGUAAUAUUUAUUGGAUGGUUAUUGAAUAUAAUAUGUGUCCUAACUCAUUAAUCAUACAAUCAACAUAACUAAUCACAAUGUUAUUAACCUCGUUUUUUUAAGUGCAUAUUUGAACUCAAAUUAUGGUUAAAGAAUAUGUGUAUUUGAUUACAUGGAAAGUAAGUAUAUUUAAGCACAUUUUAGCUGGUUACCGGAUACACACACAUGGACAAAUUAAAUUAGUGGUUAAUGAAGUUUAAAUUUGUGUUUAAUUGUGUUCUCAGAAGAAUGACAUUCGUCAUCUAAAAGUUAGUUUUCUAAGGAUCGAUAAGUUAGUCCUAAUAUAAAAUUUUAAAGGUAAUAAUCCCACCGUUUUACUACCUCCGAUCCUAUUUAUAAGAGAAAUUUAGGUCAACAAAAGUGAAUGUAUUUGGACUGAAUUUUUAACUAGAUACAUCAACUUUUGUUGACCCAAAAUUCUCUUAUAAAUAGGACUGGAGGGAGUAUAAUAUUUGUCGUUCUUAGAGAAUAAUUUUGUUUCACUUUAUUUAUCACUUUCAAGUUUCAAUGCAACAUUAAUUAUAGGUUUAUCAAUAAUACUCUUACCUAUUCAUCAUAAAGAGAAAUAAUAGAACAAAAUAAUAUAUUAACAUAUAAUUUAAUGUUGCAUUGAACUAUAAUAAAUUGUUAAGAGUAUUAUAGAAAAACACAAUCCCUGUGAGCUUAGCUCAGUUGGUAGGGAUAUGACAUAUGAGGUUCGAACCCCGGACACUCCACUUCUCCACAAUUAAAUUGUGUGAGCUCUAGCCACUAGGCUACUUGACCAAAAAAAAAAAAACACAAAGAAUUUAUUAAAAAGUUACAAAAUUUAUUUGAUUGUUUGGUAUGUGUAAUUUUUUCAAAAGCAACAAAUAUUGUGAAAAGAAGGAGUAUUAAAAUAUACCCUCCGGUCACUAAUAUAAGCAAAAAUCAACAUUUUAGAUUCAUUCAAUUAAUGAUGUAUAUGGUCUUUAUUAUAGACCACAUAUAUCAUUUAAUGAAUGAAUAAAAAAUAUUGAUUUUUGCUUAUAAUAAUGACCGGAAAGAAAUAUGAAAAGAAAUUAUGACUUGAAAGUAUAAAUAUUUAACAUUUGGAGAAAUAGAAUGCACAAUUUUCUAUAUCAAAUUUCUAUCUCUACUAGACAAACGUGUGCCUGCUCUUAAGGCACUUGUUAUCAUUUCCAAAAUUUUAUUCACUCUCUCAAAAUAAUAGUGGUCUUGUUAUCAUUUCCAAAAUUUUAUUCACUCUCUCAAAAUAAUAGUGGUCUUGUUAUCAUUUCCAAAAUUUUAUUCACUCUCUCAAAAUAAUAGUGGUUUAAGGUUUGCGCACAAUGUUAAAGAAAAUGGUUAAUUGUGUUGAUUUUAAUGAUAAAAUUAAUAUUAUUUACUAAAAUAUUAUUAUUAAUUGUAGUUAGUGUAGUAGUUAAGUUAGAUGAAAUUUAAUAAAUAAGAGUAUACUAGUGGAAAAAAAUAAAUGCUACAUUAUUAUUUUAAAGUGACAAUUAUUUUGAGACAAAAACAAUAUGAAAGAAAAUCAUAUUGAGACGGAGGGAGUAAUAUGGUACCCAAGUUUAUCCAUUAAGUGUCACCCACAAUUUAUAUGCACACAUGAAACCUAAUACUCCCUCCUUUUCACACUACUUGUCAUUUUUGAAGAAAUUACAGAUACCAAGAAAUUAAAUUAAUUUUGUUAUUUUUGAUGAAAUUCUAUGUGUUUGUUCUAUAAUAUUUUUAAGGCUUAAUUGGACAUUUGGUCCCCUAAAUAAUUAUGAGUUUACAUUUUGGUCCCAUAAAUUGUAAAACUCAUAUUUUGGUCCCUUGGUUUUGCUCCCUCAGUCAAAUUGAUCCCAUCCGCUAGUUUUUUAAUGUUUAAAACUUUUGAUAUGAUAUUAGCCGUUUGAUUGCAUGUCCAUUAUACCUAUAGUGAGCCGUCGGCAUCUAAUUUUUCCAGCACUAUCAUCUUCUCUCUUCUUCUCCCUCUCACACUCACUUAUACAACAACACUAUCAUAUUGGCCGAAAUUUAGAGACAAAGUGGUGAUUGGGGGUAUUUCAAAUUCUCACCAAUUUAAAAAUAAGUUAAUGGUUAUUAAAAAGGAAGAAGAGAUAAAUUUAAUGGUGGUGGGUGGGGUUGCCAAAGGAGUCCGGACGGAGAAGUAAUGGUGGCUGAAAGUGGUGGUGUUUGCGAAGAUAAGAAGAGUUCACGAGAGUGAGUUGCAGGGCUUUGGAUUCAUGACCUCAUUUUUCUUUUUAUCAAUAAAUAAGGGUUGAUUAAAUAGAAAUGUUGUUGGCUUCAGAUUUGGAAUCAUAUGAGUUGUAGUGAAAAAUCAAUGGUUUUUUUCAUGGGUUUUUAGGUGGAAAUCGAAAAUGAGAAGAUGGAGUGAAUAAAUUAGUGUUGGUGAAGAUGAGAAGAUGGAUUUUUUUGGUACAGUGAAUGAAUGAGAAGAUGAGUUUUUAUGGGUUUUUUUAUGAAUGUUGAUGAAUUUGUUGUUGAUGAUGAUGAAGAGGAAUAAAGAAGAUGAAGAAAAAGUACAAAAAAUUAGGUAAUGAUGUUGCACCAUUAAAUAAAAUAAACAUGUGUAAUCCAAUGGUCCUCUUUUAAAAAAAAUAAUCUAACGGUUAAAAUUAAAAGACAUAUUAAGGUCUAUUGUGGACAAACAUUGUUUGUGUUCCACUUUAGACAUUUAAAGUUAAAGUUAACAGCUAAGGACCUUUUUGACUAACGGAGAAAAACAAGAGGGACCAAAAUGUUGAUUUUACGAGUUAUGAGACCAAAAUGUAAACUCAUAAUUAUUUAGGGGACCAAAUGUCCAAUUAAGCCUAUUUUUAACUAUUUAUUAUUUCAUUAUAUUAUUUCUCUUUAUCUACAAUAAAUAAGCAAGGGUAUCAUUGACAAACUAAUAAUUAAUGUUGUAUUGAAAUUUGAAAAUGACAAGUAAAGUAAAGUGAAACAAAUUUAUUCUUCAAACGUGAUAUGUGUUGUAAAAGAGUAGUAAUGAGUGUCUAGAGACAUCUGUCUUGCGAAAUAAUAGACACUUUUCAAUCUAUUUUCUUUAAUUAAUUUGAAUUACGUGUAAAUUUGGUUGAACACAUAUAAUUUUUUUUUUUUUUGGUACACAACACAUAUAAAUUUUAAAGUAAUGUAUUGUAAGAUGUAUGUGCGUUAAAGAAAGUGUGUUGCUAUUAUUGGUAGCAUUUUAAUUGGAAAAAACCUAGAUCCCACGUAUAAUAGGAUCAUGCUUGAAAAUAGUUUUAAAAAUUAACAUCUUACGUGACAAAUCAUUUUUGUGGAAUGCAAUAUCCUAAUUUUAUUUUCGAGUCAACAAAUUAUCAUUCGGUUAUAGAAAGGAAUUAUACAGAAGAACUUGAAAGUACUAGUUCAAAAAUAAUGGCAAUAUAGACAAAGCCAACAUAACUAACUAAUCGGCAAGAACACUUCUUUGAUGUCGACAAGACCACUCAGAAAUUCUUUCUUCAAUAUAGUAUAAGCGCAAAAACUUCGAAUAUGAAAUGAGUUGUGGCACCUUAUUUUCUUAUUUAACCAUAUGAUGGAGCCCAUUUAACCAUAUGACAAAACUAUCUACCAAAGUUGUCGAAAUUUGAUGUCAAAUGUGUAAAAAAACAUAACUCUAAAUAAAUGCAUAAAACAUUAGCUAUACAUAUAUUCCUUCAUUUUCUUUUCCCUGCUAAUGCGUGUUCUUUUAAAGAGCCUAAUUGGUUGAUUGUAGUAUCAAUAGUGUGUUUAGAAUUUUUCGUCCAACGUACUUUCUAACACGUGAUAGUGUGUAGUUUCUCCAUAACUCUUCGUAAAAGAUGGGUACGGUGUGACUGCAAACAUUUAUUAAAGGAAAAAUGCUCUUCUUCCAUAAAAAAAACACUCCUCCCAACUCGAUGGACGAAAAUACCCCUGUGUGAUUUAAGUCACGCUAGAUAUUUUCAGCGUGAGUUAAUUCAAGUAGAUUAUAAAUCCAGCGUGACUUAAGUCACGCAGAGUGCUGUUAUAACUCAUGCUAAAACAUAACAGUCACUUUUCAAAACUUCCCAAAACAUCACCAAAUGCGAUUUUUUCACCUUCAAGUGCGAAUUUUACAAAACUCAACCAAAUCAACAUCAAAUCACGCAAAUCAAUACGUAAGUGUUGCUUAUCCUAUUACUUAUUCUUUUUUUUGGGUUGAAAUUUUUUAUUUUUUGUAUGAAUUUUACAUUUUUAGGUUUUUAGAAAUUUGGUUUGCAUGUUAAUUUUUAGGAUUGUUAGUGAUGAAUUAGGUUAGGAAUUGUAGUUUAGAUGUUAUUUAGAAGGCUAAAAUAUGGUUUUAGUCCCUGCAAAUAUGCAUUGUUUUGGUUUUAGUCCCUGCGAAAAAAAAAUUUGUUUUUGAAAAUAGUCCUUGGCCCCACUUUUGUGAUAAUUUACGUGACACAUUUUAAAAGAACCAAUUUUGUAGUUUUUGGUCUCUGCAAAAUUUUUUGUUUUUAAAAAAGGUCCCUGCAAAAAUUUUUGUUUUUGAAAAUAGUCCCACCAGGGACUAUUUUUAAAAACAAAAUUUUGUAGGGACCAAAAACAUUUAUUUUUUACAGGGACUAAAACCAAAACGAGGCAUAUUUGCACGGACUAAAACCAUAUUUUAGCCUGUUUAGAAUGCAAUGUGGUAGUUUAGGGUUUAAAAUUUGUUAGAUUUUAAGUUGAUUGAAAGUUAGACUCUAGGAGUUUGGUAAAAUGUUUCAAUAAAAUUUUGUUUGUUUUUUGGAUUGUUAAUGAUGAAAUUAAUCAGAAAUUGGUUUGUUAUUUUUUAUUAUAGUUAGUUUGACUGCAAUGUGGUAGUUUACAAACUAAAUGACACUGCCGAAAUUUAACCGUUGUUGUAGAAUAGUUAGAAAUGACACAAUGUCCGUUGCUUUUUGAAAAUAUCGUGGACAUACGUCUCAGAGGCCUGACAGACUUAAGGGAGAGAGGCUCUCAGAUAUGUCCGAAUGGAUUAUGGCCGGCAAAGACAGGAUGUGUCGUCACUUGUCGGAGAGGGUUCUGAGGCAGUACGGCUACGUCCAAACCAUUCUCAGACCUCCUACGACGACUGUGGAGCUCGCGCUAUAGGAGGUGGUUAUGGCCUUCAUGGAGUUUGAUGUCCAUGUCAUUAGCCAGCAGGAAAGGGGUGAUCCGGUCCCAGAGGACGAGGUCUGGAAGCAUUCGGUGGGGUACAUCAAAUGGAUCUACCGUGUAUCCCAUCCUUUUAAGAUCGCCCAUGCGGCCGUUCCCGACUACAUAGCUCUUGUCCCUCCCUACGAGGAGGUUAUUGAUGAGCAGCAGUGGGCCAGACAGGCUCCUGACCCAUUCCAGAUCAUCCGGAAUAUCAUAGCCAUAGUAGACAGUGAUGCGGGGUUCCUAAUGUGUAUUCAAAUCCUAUCAUUGUCGGCUUUAUGGAGAGCAUCUGGGCCGAGUAUACAGUGCGGGAGGAGGUGGCGGCUCCGGGGAGGAUGAGUAGAAGUCAUAGUCCACAGGAGGAUUAAGGUCUUAUCUUAUGACAUUUGUAUAUUUGUAGUAUUUUUAUGACAUUUUGUCGGAUAUGGAUGUAAUAUAUUUACACUUGCGCUUUUGCGUUUUUAUGAUAUUUUGCGUAAUUUAAGGUUUUAUUAUGUGUAUUUUAAUUAUGAGUGAAUGAAUGAUUGAAUGAAUGCUUGAAUGAAUGAUGAAAAAAUGGAUGCAAUUAAAUGAAUGGAUGUUGAAUGAAUGAAGGAAUGAAGAAAAUUAGGGAAAAUUGAGUUUUUGCAUAUUCUGGUAUUUUGCAGAGACACAACGUGAUUUAACUCACAGAGUCACGCAUGAGUUAACUCAUGCUGGCUUAACACAUGCGUGAGUUAACUCAUACUGGAAUUAUUUUUUAAAGUUUGGUUGAGAGUGAGCAAAACUUGUCGGGAGAAGAACAUUUUUCUUAUUAAAGAGUGUGUUGAUAUUGUUAACGUUAUUCUGAGUAAAACUUAAGUCCAGCAUAUAAAAUAGAGAUAAUGCUUGAACUCUUUUCAAAAAAUGAUAUCAUUGACCUUAGAAAACAGUUUUGUGAAAUACAAUACAAAAUCCUAGGUUUAUUUUAUAGUCAACUACGUAUCAAUCCAUUAUAGAAAGGAAUUAUACGGAAGAAAUUGAAAUUAGAUUUUUUUUUUUUUUUUUACAAAAAAUUGAAAUUACUUGUUAAAAAAUAAUGACUAUGUUGUCAAACUCAAAGCCAAUGGAUAUGGGGUAAGGGUGUAGCCUGUUUGUUGAGCUGUUGUCAAAUCUUCAACAAGUGAGCGAAAAUAUGCGUGAAAAAGACGUUUAUGAUAAUUUAGAUAAAAAAAAAAGUGAUGAGCUCCAAAAGCCAACUUAACUUUGUUUUUAGAAAGAAAAAAAAAAAACAUACAAAUUCAAGUUUUUAGCAUAGUUCUAGAACAGUACAUUGGAGUUCGAACUAGUGCAUUGAAAUUCGAACUUAACUUUUAAGAUGAAUUUUAACCACUAGACUACUUAAAGGAAGAAAAAAAAUUAUGCUCGGUUCUAUCUUCUGAGUUUUUUUUUUUUUUUUGACAACAUUAUUUUCCAAGCUUCUAGGGAGUCAAAACACUUAAUUAAAUAAACUUGUGUUCAUUCUAGUAAUAAUCUUGUUAUUUUCAUUUUGUACUCCUUUCUUUCCACAUCUUUGUUAACUUCUUAUUUUUUAAACAUUAAUUAAAAAACCAUUUAAUUGGUAUAUGUAGCAUCAAAAUAAAUUUUUUAUAAAUCUUAUUUUGAUUUUUUUAAUGCAAAUAGCAUAAAUACUUUAAGGAUCGAAAAACAAAGAUCAAUUCCACAGUAGAUUUUUAAAACAGCCAUUGUUUUUUUUACCAAAAAGUAAGAUGGUAAAACUACCAAACAUUGAAACCAAACACAACUAGCAAAGAUGUGGAAUGAAUGUAAUAUAUAUUUAAUUUGUUUUCUUUCUUUGAAGCAUAAUGCUAAAUGAUCCCAAAGAAUUUGCUAAUUUAAAUUUUUUUUUGUGGUAAAUGUUAAUUUAAAAUUCAAAGUCAACCUUGACUUAUUUUAUGAUAUGAAAGAGAAAUUUUAAUACGUUAAUUUUAAAUCGUACUAUCAUCAUUUGUGGAUGAAAGAGAAAUUUUAAUAAUUUUUUAAACGUAGCCUCAUUUAUGGCUGGUUUAUCAUUAAAGAAUUUUUCAUAUGCAUGUGUUUUCACACUGAGAAAAUGUUAAGUUGUGUCAUUAUGAUACAAGAUAAUGAUUUAAAAUUAAAAAUAAAAUUAAUAAAUUUAAUGCUUUAUUGAAUAUAUAAAUUUUAAAGUUUUAAGAUUAUAAAUGUAUAAUUUUUAAAAUUAAACUUUUAUAUUCGACUUCUUAUCUUGUGCCUUUAGAAUACAAGUUAACGAGAUCCUUUACGAUAUUACUUUAUCUUUGGUCUUAUCUUAUUAUUUCUAAUUUUUGUCUUCGUUUUCACACUAUUACUAAUCAACUUUAAGUUGAAAAUAUAAAAUUAAAAUAAAGGGUGUCUAAUGGGAAUUGUGCUCGCGAUUUUCGGAUGUCAAACCAUUAAUUGAUUUGAAUCGUCGAUCUUUGAACUCUCGAUUUUUAUUCUUGGGAAGGGAAAAAAUGAGUAAAAACCCUUAUCGAGACUUUGGAUUCGGGGGUUGGUUACGCGAAGGGAAGGUGCUAGCAUCCUAAGCGUCUAUGGUAUUCCAUAGGAACCUCUUACCUAGAUUAUUUUGUGCUAAACUACUUGUUUAUUUGAAAAAAUAUUGCCUAACGUCUAAGUGAAAGAAUGGAGGGAGAAGAAGUAUGUUUUUGGUUAUUUUUAUUUGAUUUGGAAGGACGAGUCCUCUGCCUACGUACCCUUUUUGAGAAAUGGAUCAAAACCGACGUAGUUCCACUCAAGAAUUUCUUUGGUGGGUUAGGUUGAUUUUAAGAUUUUUUCGAAAAUGGGUUUUAAGAAGAGAAAGAGGCCUCAAGGCAUGAGAUAAAGAAAACAAGUGAGGUUGAUUGAUUUUAAAUUUUGAAAAUGAUUGAAGUUGAAUUAAAAUUGAUUGAGAAUUUGAUUAAGAAAAUAAAGGAAAAAAGUUAUUAAGAAAAAGAUUUUUGAAGUUUUGCAUAUUUGAUUUUUUUUGUGAAAAAUGAUUUUUUCUAAGCUAACGGUGAAAACUAACGUAACGUCGUAAAAAAUUAACAGAAAGCGGUAAAUAAAAAUGUGGUAGUGUCGGUGCAUGUGUCGGUGCUUGUGUUACCUACAUUAUUACAUCAAUUCCUAAAUACAACCCUAAGGCCUUUAUGCCAAAAUAAAAUGCAAGAAAUAAAAUUACAUCAAUUCCCUAUUUAUACAUACUAAGCCAAUGACAAGAUAAAAUGAUGAGAAAAUUAAAUAUGCAUGCUAUGAUUUAAGACAAAAAUUAAAUGGUUAGUAAUCACAAGAAAUAUUAGGAUGAAUGAGACAUAAGAAAUAAUAAGCAAGAAUGAAAAUAAUAAAAAAAUUUAAGAUCAUCAUAUAAGAAAUAAUAAAAAAAAACAAAUUAAAAGGAAAAAAAUAGGAUGGAUUUUUAACAAUUAUAGAAAAUUAAAAUAGUGAGAAAAACAUUUUUUGGAAUUUUUCUAAACAUAAAAUGUCAAAAAGAAAUAAAAAAACAGCAUUUAAAAAAUAAAAAUAAUAACAAAUGAAAAUAAUAAAACAUUGGUUCAGCAGGAUUAAUUCUGGACCAUUGGAUUAAAUCAAUGGUCCAGGUUCAACCCCUGGAUUCAUCAUGGCCAUAGGAUCUAAGAUCCAACAGUUGGACAAAGCAGAACAUGGAAUACUGCAAGCAAAGGACAUGCGUGUGAUUUAACAGAAUCAUCCCUGACCAUUAGAUUAAAAAAUCAAAUAGUCUAGAUCUGAAAGUAUACUAAGUAACACCAUAGAUUGCACAUACAUGACCGUUGGAUUAAAAAAAGAAAAGGAUCUAAAGGUUUAGAAAGAAAGGAGAAAGGAAUCAAAUGGACCGGUCCGGUUCAGAUGAACCAGACCGGUUCACACAUGCUUAUAAAAGGCAAUAGGGACCGGUUUUUUUCUAUUUUUCCUUUCCUCCCUCUCUCUAAAAAUUUCUAGUGAGAGAAGGUCUGCAAUUGCAGCCUUCUUCUCCGGUGGGACUGUGCAUUUUCCGGCGUGGUGGCCGCCGGCCAACAGGCGGCGCCGCCGCGCCGGAGUUACAAAACUCCUCCGUUUGAAUUUUUUUUUACGUUUUUAACAAUCCUUUUUCUUGUUUUGUAUGAAUCCUAACUUAGAUUUUUGAAAACAAGCUUCUACAAGCCUAGAUCUAACAAAGAACAUUCACAGAAAAUGAGCAAAAAACUACCUCUCUCUCUCUCUCUCCAGUCCGUAGCUCUCUCUCUCCGGUCCGGUUUUCUCCCUUUUGCUCCGGUUCGGCUUUCUCUCCCUUGAGCUCCGGUUCGGCUUUCUCUCCCUUGUUCCGGUUCGGUGCAAGCUCUUGUUGUUGUGGUUGCGUGAUGUAUUCGAAUUUGUGGGGUUUAUGUGUGAAAAAUGAUUCUGUAAAUCUUUGUGUUCAUCAUGUUCAUAUGAUUUUUUUUAUGAAUUUUGGGUGAUUUGAUCUGAAAUUGGAUGGAAGAGAAAAGGUUUUAGGGUUUGUUGAUUGUGAUUGUGAAUGAGUGCUGGUUGGAUCUGUGUGUACAGUGAUUUUUCUCUGACCCAUUUCCCAAUGAUUGACAGUGUUUUUAUAGUGACAAACUAGGGUUGGCUCUGGUACAAACAAAUGACCAAAAUGCCCCUGCAGCUGAGACUUGGAGAAAAAGAUUUGACCAAAAAGAUAAAUAGAUAAAUAAAAAAACAAAAUGAAUAAAAUAAAUAAAAAAAUAAUAAAAAAAAAUAAAAAGAAAAGAAAAGAAAGAAAGAGGUCACGUGAGUGACUUCUUUUUGUUUUUUCUAAAAAAAAUAAAAAUAAAAAAGAAUAAAUAAUAAUAAACAAACUAGCCUAAAAAGAAAAUAAAAAAGUCCCUUCGGAAUCUGACAUGAGGUACUUCAAAGUAUCCUCCCUGCCGAAAUUUCGAUUGAAAAGAUUAAUAAAAAAAACGCCUUUUAAAAUGCGAUUAGCCAUUUUAAAAUGACUUGUCUGUUAUGACUAAAAGGAUUAUAAAAUGCGUUUAUAAAAAUGCAAAUGGAGUGAUUUUAAAUGUUGUAAAAAAUGCAAGCGAGGACUUAAAUGCAAGAUGAAAGUUUUUAAAUGAUUAAUGACGAAAAACACGAGUUUUAAAAGGUAAAAAAACGAAUAAAAGAGAAUCUGAACUAUUAAAAAAUGUGGACAAAAAAGAUUUCAAAUGGUCCAAAUUUGGGGUAUGACAGAUGCCCCUAUUUAAGUUUCUUCGUCACGAAGGGUUUAAAAGGGGACCUUUUAAACCAAAGGGUCGAGGAGACUUAAAUAUAUAAAAAACGCCAAUUUUGGACCGUUUGAAAUGCCAGGGAUGUGAUGCUGAUGAAUGUGAUGAUAUGACUGAACAUGAUGCAAGUAUGAAUGUAAAGAUAAUGCAUAAAGACUGACUGGGGUUCAAUUGGAUAGGUAUCACUGGGGAAAGAACUGAUAAAUAAUGCUUAAAGUCGCCGUGAGAUAGCUUGAAACAACUAGAGUAUGAACGAUGAUGUUUAUUAACGUUGCUUCAAGAUAAGAUAAGGAUAUGAUUAGCCGACGAGUGGCAACAGUAAAGACAAGGAUAUGAUUAGCCGACGAGUGGCAACAGUAAAGACAAGGAUAUGAUUAGCCGACGAGUGGCAACAGUAAAGACAUGAUUAGCCGACGAGUGGCGGAAGUAAAGACAUGAUUUGCCGACGAGUGGCGCAAGUAAAGACAUGAUUGGCCGACGAAUGGCGAAAGUAAAGACAUGAUUGAGCCGACGAGUGGCGAAAGUAAAGACAUGAUUUAGCCGACGAGUGGCGAAAGUAAAGACAUGAUUAGCCGACAAGUGGCGGAAGUAAAGACAUGAUUAGCCGACAAGUGGCGGAAGUAAAGACAUGAUUUAGCCGACGAAUGGCGAAAGUAAAGACAUGAUUUAGCCGACGAAUGGCGAAAGUAAAGACAUGAUUAGCCGACGAGUGGCGGAAGUAAAGACAUGAUUAGCCGACAAGUGGCGGAAGUAAAGACAUGAUUUAGCCGACGAGUGGCGAAAGUAAAGACAUGAUUUAGCCGACCAGUGGCGAAAGUAAAGACAUGAUUGGCCGACGAGUGGCGAAAGUAAAGACAUGAUUUAGCCGACGAGUGGCGAAAGUAAAGACAUGAUUGGCCGACGAGUGGCGAAAGUAAAGACAUGAUUUAGCCGACGAGUGGCGAAAGUAAAGACAUGAUUGGCCGACGAGUGGCGAAAGUAAAGACAUGAUUGGCCGACGAGUGGCGAAAGUAAAGACAUGAUUGGCCGACGAGUGGCGAAAGUAAAGACAUGAUUGGCCGACGAGUGGCGAAAGUAAAGACAUGAUUUAGCCGACGAGUGGCGAAAGUAAAGACAUGAUUUAGCCGACGAGUGGCGAAAGUAAAGACGACGAGUGGCGAAAGUAAAGACAUGAUUUAGCCGACGAGUGGCGAAAGUAAAGACAUGAUUUAGCCGACGAGUGGCGAAAGUAAAGACAUGAUUGGCCGACGAGUGGCGAAAGUAAAGACAUGAUUUAGCCGACAAGUGGCGAAAGUAAAGACAUGAUUUAGCCUACGAGUGGCGAAAGUAAAGACAUGAUUGGCCGACAAGUGGCGAAAGUAAAGACAUGAUUUAGCCGACAAGUGGCGAAAGUAAAGACAUGAUUGGCCGACAAGUGGCGAAAGUAAAGACAUGAUUGGCCGACGAGUGGCGAAAGUAAAGACAUGAUUUAGCCGACGAGUGGCGAAAGUAAAGACAUGAUUGGCCGACAAGUGGCGAAAGUAAAGACAUGAUUUAGCCGACAAGUGGCGAAAGUAAAGACAUGAUUGGCCGACAAGUGGCGAAAGUAAAGACAUGAUGGACCGAUAGGGUUUGCUAACAUUGUGGGAUAGCGCACACACGGUAAAAAAUAAAGGCAAGACAGACCAUUGGCAUUUGCUAAAAGCAAAGCCUCCGGUGAAAGUAAAGACAAUGUAAAGCUUGGUAUCAGGGGAGUGACUUGAUAAAGAUAAAGUUGAGGGGAACAAGGAAUUUGUCUGAAGACAACGGGGAAUUGUAUAGACUGAUUACUGGUGAGACCUGCCCCUUUGGAACAUGUUUGAUUUGAUGACAUUUUGGAGUUAGACACACUGGGGGUGAUAUCUAAGGAUAUUGAAAUAAGUCAUUGGGUAAAAAUGCAACUAUGUAUGAAUGAUCUUUAUAUGCGUGCUAUGUAUGCAUGAAUGAAUGAGUAUGUAUGAGAUUUGUAUAACAAUGCAAUGGUAAGAUUGGUUGAGACCAGAUUGGGCAUGUCCACAAGGAGAAUAGUCCGGCAUCACUGUGCGAACGCUCGAAACUUUCAUUGGGGAUAAAGUCACUGGAGAUGCAAUCAAGCCACUGCUGGGGUAAGACCCAAUGGUCAAAAGCUGGGGUAGAAGUCGCCAUUCCACAAACACAAUGUCGUACUGUCUUGUCUGAAUAGUCAUUGCUUUUUGUAUAUAUUUUGAAAUCCCUAACUUUUGCCUGGAUCGUCCUUUCGGAUUUUGGAUCCACCGGGGAGGUAUUUUUUCGUGUGCCCCUAAUUUUUUGCCUGGACCGCCCUUUCGGGUUUUUGAUCCACCAGGGCGCUCAUUUUUUUGUUUUUUUUUUUUUUUUUUUUUUUUUUUUUUGCAAUGACUACUGCUUCUUCGUUGAACCUGUUAGUUUCGGACCAACUGUUGACACAUACUUCUGUAUUUUCAAACUGUUCGAUGGAGAACAUGUCGUUUGAAAUACUGAGGAAGCGAGGUAAAAUGGAUUUCCAAACUGUUCAAAGAAGAACGUGCCAUCUGAAAUAUUGUGGAUUGGUGACAUCUCUGGAUCAGCCACACUAGUGAUGACGCUUUGAAUGAGAUACAAUUGGAAUAAGACACUGGAUGGUAAUGCAAUUUAUGUAUAAAUGAUAUUUGUAUGCAUGUUAAAUGUGCAUGAAAGUUAUAUGCAUGUAUAUGUAUAUGAAUGAAUGUAUGAAUAUACGCAUGAAACUUGUAGGACCGUAUGACUGUAUCUAACAGGUGAAACUGACAAACAAGACUGGAUAGGUAAGAUAGGAGGUUGAAUGACAUCGCAGUACAAACACUCAGCAAUCUUCAUUGGAAAUAAAAUCACUGGCGAUGAAUCAAAUUAAUGUUGGGGUAAAGCACGAUAUCAAACCACUGGCAGGGGAAACAAACCAUUAAUCAGACCACUGAAGGGAGAAUGCCCCAUAAUCAAACCACUUGAAGGGAAAAUGACCCAUUAAUCAAACCACAAGCAGAAGUUGCCAUUAAUCAACCCACAUGCAGAAAUCGCCUUCAAUCAAACCACUAGAGAGGUACCAACCCAUGUUUUGGCAGAAGUCGCCAUACAUCAAACCAUAGGCAGAAGUUGCCAUUUGCAAACCAAUACCGAGUGCAUUCUUCCAUUUGACCCUCUUGCACUGUGAUGUCUCUGUCUCUUUUUUUUUAUUUCAUUUUUUUUUUUUUUUUUUUUUUUUAUAUUUUUUGAAUCCCUAACUUUUGCCUGGACCGCCCUUUCGGGUUUUCAAUCCACCGGGAACAUGUUCUUUUUGUUUGUAUGCCCCUAAUUUUUGCCUGGACCGUCCUUUCGGGUUUUCAGUCCACCGGGACGCUCAUUUUUGGCUUAAGCCGCCCUUUCGGGUUUUCGACUUAGCAAGCUUUUUACUUUUUUUUUUUUGACAGAGGUCAUCUCACAGCUUUUAGUCAUGCCAACCUUGCAGAGUUUAACUGUCCUUGAGACGGAUGUUGAUGUAUGUUUCACCUGCUCAUAAGUUCAAAGAAGAUGUACUUGUUGUUUAUGCUUUUCAAAAGACAUGAUAAAAGUUUUUUUUUUUUUUUUUUUUUUUUAAAAGAUUUUUUUUUGAAUUUUUUUGCUUUAGGUAUUAACAUCAAAAAUAGAAGAAAAAUUUGCAAACAGAAUAAAUGAGAAUUUUAAAUAAAUGGGCACAAGCUCAAGUUAAUGUAAAUGGAAUGGUGGCCUGCCAAGGCGUGGCUCCACAGAUUUUAAAAGUUUGGAAAAAUGGUAAUUAUAUGGAAAAGGUACGUUGAACACAAUAACCACUGUUUCCUCUACCAACUUUGAAUUCCACUGUUUUGAGUCUUUGAUUUGCAGACGCUUCAGAUCGGAAGCCCUUUAACAGCUAAGAUGCCCCAGAUGAAUCAUAUCUGAUUUGAUGCAAUUACCUUGCCAUGAGUCGGAGGUCUUUUGACGGCUGAAAUGCCCCAUAUGAGUCAUGUCCGACCAGAUGCAGUUACUUUGUCAUGAUCCUUAACUUUUGCAUAGAUCGCCCUUGCGGGUUUCAACCUAUCAGGAUAAUCAUUUUUUUUUUUUUUAUAUGUCUCUAACUUUUGCAUGGACCGCCCUUUCGGGUUUUCAGUCCAUCGAGACGCGCUCUUUUUUUGCCUAAGCCGCCUUUUCCGGUUUGCGACUUAUCGAGCUUUUUCAUUUUAACAAAGUAUUUCUUGACUGCAUCGGUAUACACAGGACAUACAAGUUUAACCUCAUGCUUUGUAUUAGGCAUUCAUUGCUCCUGGAGUUUGUUUAAAUCAGAUAGCAUAACUUUUGAGCACAAUGCCACUCUCUUGACAUUCAUGGGGACGAGCCUUCUCUUGUUGAAAACAUGCUUUUGAUACAAUUGUUCACGCCAUACGGCAAUAACACUUUUAAAUUCAAUCAAGCUUAGCUUUCAUUGGAACUCCCGUUGAUGGGACUUUGACCUUCAUGUGAGGCAUUGCCUUUAUGUUGUAUACUGAGGGAUGGAGGGGGGGUUGCCCCUGCUGAAGUGUUUACUUGAAGUACAAUAUCCUUGCAAGGAAAAUGGUGGCAUCUCGUGCCGGUCUUUGUACAUGAAAGUCCUCUUCUGGACAAUCUCUCUUGAUAUUUGCAGCUUCGACGGCCAAGAUGCCCCAGUAGGCGAGAAAUAUCAGUGGAAGCUUCUUCAUCAUCCUCUUCUUCAACCUCGGAUACAAGGAACUCAAAGUCGAGAGAGAGUACAUGGUUUAAGUGUUCAACGGGUUUAUUAAUGCAUGAUUUGAUUAUUGAUAUAAACAUUAUGAUUAUGCAGAUAUGUGGAAAUGAUUAAAGAAACAGUUUUUUUUUGUUUUUUGUAUUACCAUUUUUCCAGAAAAAGCACAAAAUAAAACAAAGUCGGGAUCAAGACGACCUUUCACUAAUGAUGAAAAUACAUAAAGCAAAAAUCCCUAAACAAAUUCACUCUCGCCUCGGGUGGGACGAAAGGAUUUUUUUGGAAAAACAUAAAGCAACAAACAAACAUAUUAAUUGAACAAAAGAGUAGUAGAAAUAAACAUCAACAAAUACCAAAUUGCAACUAAACACUCCACAUGCCACCACAAGGUCCAAAGAUCCGAUAGAGGAUUAACUUGCACAUUCAGAUCCAAACUCUUCGAAAGGUAUGAGAUCGUCUUCAAUCAGUUUCUGGACCGCAAUCUUCAAAGAAAAACAGCGCUCGACAUCAUGACCUUGUGCCCCUUGAUGGAAAACACAAAAGAGAUCAGGUCUCCAUCGAGCCGGCAAUAUUUUCGGUAUCGGAGGAGGUGGCCUGGUUUGGACAAGGUUCCUCUCAAGCAAAUAGGGAAGCAACUUUGCAUAUUUAAUUGGAAUUUGAUCAAAUUUUAUUCUUGGAGCCUGUAGUCGAGGUUGUUGUUGAUAUUGUUGAGAUUGGGACUGAUAACCCAGAUCUUGGACCGCGUUCAUGAUGGGCAUAACAGCAGAAACAGAGAGAGGAGCCAGAUAUUGUUGUUGGCUUGGUUGAAACUGGGGUUGAUAACCCGGAUCUUGAACAUUGGUGAUGGGUGUAACAGCAGCAACAGAGUGAGAAGCCAGAUGUUGUUGUUGAAGUAGCACUUUUAUAUCUGGGUCUUCAAUCAACUUCUGAACUUUUUCCUUCAAAGGAUAAUACUGCUUAGUGUCAUGAUCUCGUGCCCCUUGAUGGAAGGCACAAUUGCGGUCAGGACGAUACCCGGGAGGCAGCGUAUUUGGCACAUGAGGAGGUGACGGGGUUUGAACAAGGUUCGUCUUCAGCAAAAUGGGAAGCAAAUCCGCAUAUUUCACAGGAAACGGGUCACACUGCGAUGCUUUUUGGGCCUGAUUUUGAGGUAUAAGCGGUUGAGGAGACUGAUUUUGAGGGAUAAACCGCUGAGAACCCUGUUGUCGAGACCGUUUCAUGCAUAUUGGCUGACAUAGUGCCUAAGGCCUUUGUUGGACAAGCGGUGGAUCCUUUGUAGCCAUCAAUGAAGAUACAAGGCUAGUUAACUUCUCUACCUCAGCCCGAAGUGUUGUUAUUUCUCCACGAAGCUCGUGGACCUCUUGCUCAAGUUGAUCCAUCUUUUGUGUUUGCACGAGUGUCUGCAUAUAUGAGCCGAACUUGGAUGAAGACAUCUGACCACUUUACUAAUGAAUUGACCCUUUUAUGGAGAAGACACAGUGUGAGAUACAGACUAGAAACUAUGAAUGCAAAAUGAUGCAUGAUAUGCUUAUGCAAAAAUAGAUUUUUUUUUUAUUUAUUUUUUAUUUUUUAUUUUUUUUUGAAGGACUUGUUAAAGUGAAAUGUAAACAUGGCAGAGGAACAUGGUUUCAUUUGAAAAUUGUCAAGAUAUUUACAAUAGGUUUCUUUUUCCAAAGGUAAGAACGAAACCAAGGAAGAAGUUCUUUAACAUAAGCUAAAAGCUUAGUUAAGAUUUUGGAAGUUGUAUUUCUCGGUGUUCAUUCUUACAAGGUCCAUAUCCGUGAUGUUUACAAAAACUUGUCUAAGUCCUUCAAAAAAAUUUUUUUUGAUGGAAAAGGUUGUUUAUGAAUGAAUGCAUGUAUGCAUGGUUAUGCUAAGUGGAUAGAAUACAUGGUGAGGGUAAGUUCCACAACGUUGGAGUCAAUGGUAACAACGCCAUUUGGUAAGGACUAUGGUUUCAAAUGUACCUGUAUCACGGGUUCUACCAAGUUCCCAAAGUCUUUAACCACUUCCGAAUAUUUAUCGGGUGACAGGAGUACUCCCAUUCCAAUUAUAUUCGUCGGAAAGUCUCAUUUGGGUGUAGUAUCGCGUAUCAACUAAUUCAAGAGUACUCUCGAUUAGCCACCGCACUACGUCCUAAAAGGCCAAGAGGGGUUAAAGGUGACUAAAGGUCCUCAACUUCAAAGGUCACUUGAAAAUAGCAUGCCAAACAUGAGUACUCACGUUGACGACAUAUACUUCCAAGAUCCCUCCGUUGAGUGGGGUUAUCACAUGUGCCAAUACCGAAGAGUACUCUUGGCAUGGAACUAUGAUUAUACCGCCGUCCUAUCUUAAGUUUCCCUCAAGCUCGGGUGUAGAGCUUAUUUUCUCACCCCUCACGUAAUAAGGUAAACAUGUAAGCAAAUAUUUACAAGAUAUAAACAAAUAAUAAAGCACAAAAUAAAGAAAGUAAGGUGGGUUUAACCCGCAUAGGACCUAAGUGUCCCCAGUGAAGUCGCCAUUUCUGUGCUCGCGAUUUUCGGAUGUCAAACCAUUAAUUGAUUUGAAUCGUCGAUCUUUGAACUCUCGAUUUUUAUUCUUGGGAAGGGAAAAAAUGAGUAAAAACCCUUAUCGAGACUUUGGAUUCGGGGGUUGGUUACGCGAAGGGAAGGUGCUAGCAUCCUAAGCGUCUAUGGUAUUCCAUAGGAACCUCUUACCUAGAUUAUUUUGUGCUAAACUACUUGUUUAUUUGAAAAAAUAUUGCCUAACGUCUAAGUGAAAGAAUGGAGGGAGAAGAAGUAUGUUUUUGGUUAUUUUUAUUUGAUUUGGAAGGACGAGUCCUCUGCCUACGUACCCUUUUUGAGAAAGGGAUCAAAACCGACGUAGUUCCACUCAAGAAUUUCUUUGGUGGGUUAGGUUGAUUUUAAGAUUUUUUCGAAAAUGGGUUUUAAGAAGAGAAAGAGGCCUCAAGGCAUGAGAUAAAGAAAACAAGUGAGGUUGAUUGAUUUUAAAUUUUGAAAAUGAUUGAAGUUGAAUUAAAAUUGAUUGAGAAUUUGAUUAAGAAAAUAAAGGAAAAAAGUUAUUAAGAAAAAGAUUUUUGAAGUUUUGCAUAUUUGAUUUUUUUUGUGAAAAAUGAUUUUUUCUAAGCUAACGGUGAAAACUAACGUAACGUCGUAAAAAAUUAACGGAAAGCGGUAAAUAAAAAUGUGGUAGUGUCGGUGCAUGUGUCGGUGCUUGUGUUACCUACAUUAUUACAUCAAUUCCUAAAUACAACCCUAAGGCCUUUAUGCCAAAAUAAAAUGCAAGAAAUAAAAUUACAUCAAUUCCCUAUUUAUACAUACUAAGCCAAUGACAAGAUAAAAUGAUGAGAAAAUUAAAUAUGCAUGCUAUGAUUUAAGACAAAAAUUAAAUGGUUAGUAAUCACAAGAAAUAUUAGGAUGAAUGAGACAUAAGAAAUAAUAAGCAAGAAUGAAAAUAAUAAAAAAAUUUAAGAUCAUCAUAUAAGAAAUAAUAAAAAAAAACAAAUUAAAAGGAAAAAAAUAGGAUGGAUUUUUAACAAUUAUAGAAAAUUAAAAUAGUGAGAAAAACAUUUUUUGGAAUUUUUCUAAACAUAAAAUGUCAAAAAGAAAUAAAAAAACAGCAUUUAAAAAAUAAAAAUAAUAACAAAUGAAAAUAAUAAAACAUUGGCUCAGCAGGAUUAAUUCUGGACCAUUGGAUUAAAUCAAUGGUCCAGGUUCAACCCCUGGAUUCAUCAUGGCCAUAGGAUCUAAGAUCCAACAGUUGGACAAAGCAGAACAUGGAAUACUGCAAGCAAAGGACAUGCGUGUGAUUUAACAGAAUCAUCCCUGACCAUUAGAUUAAAAAAUCAAAUAGUCUAGAUCUGAAAGUAUACUAAGUAACACCAUAGAUUGCACAUACAUGACCGUUGGAUUAAAAAAAGAAAAGGAUCUAAAGGUUUAGAAAGAAAGGAGAAAGGAAUCAAAUGGACCGGUCCGGUUCAGAUGAACCAGACCGGUUCACACAUGCUUAUAAAAGGCAAUAGGGACCGGUUUUUUUCUAUUUUUCCUUUCCUCCCUCUCUCUAAAAAUUUCUAGUGAGAGAAGGUCUGCAAUUGCAGCCUUCUUCUCCGGUGGGACUGUGCAUUUUCCGGCGUGGUGGCCGCCGGCCAACAGGCGGCGCCGCCGCGCCGGAGUUACAAAACUCCUCCGUUUGAAUUUUUUUUUACGUUUUUAACAAUCCUUUUUCUUGUUUUGUAUGAAUCCUAACUUAGAUUUUUGAAAACAAGCUUCUACAAGCCUAGAUCUAACAAAGAACAUUCACAGAAAAUGAGCAAAAAACUACCUCUCUCUCUCUCUCUCCAGUCCGUAGCUCUCUCUCUCCGGUCCGGUUUUCUCCCUUUUGCUCCGGUUCGGCUUUCUCUCCCUUGAGCUCCGGUUCGGCUUUCUCUCCCUUGUUCCGGUUCGGUGCAAGCUCUUGUUGUUGUGGUUGCGUGAUGUAUUCGAAUUUGUGGGGUUUAUGUGUGAAAAAUGAUUCUGUAAAUCUUUGUGUUCAUCAUGUUCAUAUGAUUUUUUUUAUGAAUUUUGGGUGAUUUGAUCUGAAAUUGGAUGGAAGAGAAAAGGUUUUAGGGUUUGUUGAUUGUGAUUGUGAAUGAGUGCUGGUUGGAUCUGUGUGUACAGUGAUUUUUCUCUGACCCAUUUCCCAAUGAUUGACAGUGUUUUUAUAGUGACAAACUAGGGUUGGCUCUGGUACAAACAAAUGACCAAAAUGCCCCUGCAGCUGAGACUUGGAGAAAAAGAUUUGACCAAAAAGAUAAAUAGAUAAAUAAAAAAACAAAAUGAAUAAAAUAAAUAAAAAAAUAAUAAAAAAAAAUAAAAAGAAAAGAAAAGAAAGAAAGAGGUCACGUGAGUGACUUCUUUUUGUUUUUUCUAAAAAAAAUAAAAAUAAAAAAGAAUAAAUAAUAAUAAACAAACUAGCCUAAAAAGAAAAUAAAAAAGUCCCUUCGGAAUCUGACAUGAGGUACUUCAAAGUAUCCUCCCUGCCGAAAUUUCGAUUGAAAAGAUUAAUAAAAAAAACGCCUUUUAAAAUGCGAUUAGCCAUUUUAAAAUGACUUGUCUGUUAUGACUAAAAAGAUUAUAAAAUGCGUUUAUAAAAAUGCAAAUGGAGUGAUUUUAAAUGUUGUAAAAAAUGCAAGCGAGGACUUAAAUGCAAGAUGAAAGUUUUUAAAUGAUUAAUGACGAAAAACACGAGUUUUAAAAGGUAAAAAAACGAAUAAAAGAGAAUCUGAACUAUUAAAAAAUGUGGACAAAAAAGAUUUCAAAUGGUCCAAAUUUGGGGUAUGACAGGAAUGUGUUAUAAACAUUAGAAAGAGUUAAUAACAUAUUCGAAGGUCAUAAACUACACGGAUAUUUUAGAAUGGCCACAUAUGGUCAAAGACCAAAAUUAUAGUAUGUUGGCAAAGAUGGAAAUUUGUUACUCAUAAUAAAAUUGUAUGUACAAACAUGAUGUGAUACAAUAUUUUGGAAAUUAAAUACUAAUAUGUAAUAAUUGUUAACGUGUUAAUAUUAACAAGGUGGAAAUCAAAUUUAAUAUUACUUUUAUUACUUCACUCUUUAACUCUCUCAUUUCGGCCACGGAGCAACCUUAUCUCUUUUUCUUUUGGUUACGUUGUCUAGUGACUAGAUUUCACACAAUUUAAUUUUGGAGAAACGGAGUGUUCGGGAUUCAAACAGCGGCUCCUGCAUAUAAUAUGCAAUAUCCCUUUCAACUGAGUGUAAGUUCACGGGGAUGGAGCAACCUUAUCUCUAUCUGAUAAUACUUUGUAAAUAGCAUAAUUGUUCAAUUAUCUAUUUUAAAAACAAAUCCGUUGAUUAUAUAAAAAAAUAUAUCAUUAUGAAAUAAAAAAUUAAUCAAACAUCAAUUUAAUUUAUCAAUGUAUAAUGUUAACUAAUGCCCUAGACAUUAGUUAAAGAAACAAAUAUAGUAAGGAGAAUGCUAACUAGUGUCUUAAGGGCAAUGAUUAAAUAUUUAAAACAAGUAAGUUUUUAUGAAAAAUAUGUGUAAUCAUUACUUUAUCAAAAGUAACAUCUUAUAUUUUCAAGACAAAAUUUCUAUUUUUAGAUUCAUUAACCAUUGUCCUGAGAGCACUGGUUAGCAAUACUCGUAUAGUAAUAAUCUAUUGGAAUUUUUUUUAAGGAAUAAUGCAUUGAAACUUGUAUAGUCAACUUUAAAAGUGUGAAAAUGUUUAUCAAAAUGCAAUUAUUUUUUCUUUCUUUAAUUAGUGUUCAAAGACAUUAGUUAGCAUGACCAUUUUAUAAAUUGCCAACCUCUCUUGAAUUUAAUACCUAAAUUAUAUAAAUAUGAAGAAAAAAAAUGUUUCUGAAGUCUAUAAAAUAUGUCAAUUUAUAAGUAAGUACAUUUAUUGACAUAUUGGAGAUUAAAUUGACGGAUUUUUCAUGUACCUUGUUCAAUGUCGGAGUAGGCUUUCAAUUCUGAGCCGUAUGAUGCACUAAAAUAAUUCCAAGCAUCUUUAGCAGUAUGAAAAUCUCUAAUAUGUGCAAGAUUCUCUGAUCCACAUGCUAGUUGAAUAAUAUGCAAAGCCUUAGCAUUAUCCCUAUUCCAUGCUUCAACUUCUUCUUUAGAUCCCACACCUAUUGUAGAAACAGAACUCACAACUCCCCACAGAUCAUGCCCUGCAAGAUAGUUUCUCACCAAACAGCUCCAAUUAUCGUAGUUGUCUUUUGUUAGUGGUUCAAGAACUAUUCCACUUGCUGCAAUGCUUGACAUUUUUUCUGAUUCUGGAUGAUGAAAAUGAAACAACUUAGUAUAUUUUGGUCCCUUUCAAUUGGUGGACUCGUAAUUUUGAUCUACUAGAAAAUUUAUGGAUGAAUAUUCGAGUGUGUAUAGAGUGGUAAGUUUGGUUUGUGCAAAUGAUUACAAAGGGAGCAACUAAUAAUUAUUAUAGAGGAAAUGACAAAAAAAAAGUUAGAGAAAGCCAAGUACUUACAAUGCGCAGAUCUAACUUUAGAAAAACUUGCAGAUCAAAAUCGUACGAUACUCACGGGUAUUAUAUAUAUGUUGACUAUGAUCAUGCAAAAUUAUAGAUGUUAUAGACUAAUCUAUUAUAGAUUUUUCUGACUUGGAUACGGUUCAAUGACUUCAAUUAUGCGGUGAUGGAUUGGCAGUUUCAUGUUGUGUUUGAUCACAAACAUUUAUUUUUGAUCCGAUGGUCGACAAUAUCUCCCGUGUCACAAACUAAUUUUUGUGAAAUCUAAAUUUGAUAAUAAAAUAAAAUAAAAACUACUAUAGAUUUAAUCAAAACUACAAGCUUUGGACUUCUUGAUAAUUGUUUUUUUUUUUUUAAGAAAUCAAAAUGAAAAUAAAUAACACACCAAACAGCAAUGUCCAAGCAUAAGGUGUGCCUAGGAUACCACUAAAAAUACAAGAGUUUAAGGAACAACAAACAGAGGUUUACACUAGGUAGUCAACCCCAAACAAGCAAAAGGGUCGGACCACCAUCUCAGCGUACCAUAAACAAACACAGCCUUUUUAGCUUUCAGCCACCCCAAAGAUAACAAUUAAACAUUAUCUAACAAUUGAGGGACAAUAUUAAAAGAAUUAUUGAAAAGACGGUUGUUACGCUCACUCCACAAAACCCAAGCACACAACAGCCAAAUAAGCUGCAAGAAUGAUCUUUUUGCUUUACCAACACCUGCCAAAUGAGUAAACUGCACCAGAUGGUCUGUAAUGAUGUUAGGGUCCACUCCUGAAAAACCAAUCCAAUCACGCACCUGCUGCCACAAAGAUGCAAAUGUAGUACAAGAUAAAAAUAAAUGACCGGCUGUCUCCACGUGACCACAACCAGAAACACAUAAGAUAUCAUCCGCAGGGACAACACCAUGAAUCGCCAGAUUAGCUUUCGUUGGUAAUCGAUCUCGGAUAAGCCGCCACGCAAAAACUGAAACCUUCAAAGGAACCUGAGGUUGCCACACUAACUCAAAGGGUAAUCCCAUAUGAGAAUCAUCCCCAAUCGUCAACAAAUCAUAGGCACCUCUCACAGAGUACCCCUCUGCAGUAUCUGGAAGCCACUCCCAAAAAUCUGAAACAUUAGGAACCAAAGAGAUAUCAAAUAGUAACGCCCUACACUCCUCUAGUAAAAGCUCCUCCCAAGCCUACAAUCUACGCCUCCACCUCCACCCCUCCCCAUCCUGCUCCGUACCCAAAGAGAACAAAGAGUUUUGGUUGAACAAAGAUCAACAUAAAAAUUAGAUGGUAGGUUCCACUACAAAGGAGGGUCAGCCCAACAAAUUAAUUUAGAGGCCUAAAACAAUUUUUAUUGCGAGGUUUUUUACAAUUGAAAAAACUACACAAGCUUUUUAUAAUUUAAAAAAAAAAAAACAGUUUUGUAGUGAGGCCUUCACUUUUACCAACUCAACAUGUGAAAUAUUUAUUAAUAAAUUUUCAUGUUAUAUAUUUAUAAGUAAAUUAAAAUAUUUUGAGGUUUUUUUUGUACAUAACAUUUUUUAGGUCUAAAGUCCUUGUUUGGGCCACGUGGGGCCCUGCCACAAAGUGGAUCCAACCAUUAUAAGUUCCUACGUUCAAAUACCAUUUCAAUUGAGAAAAUUGCUUUUUUUACAAUGAAUAUUUUCAAUUGCUUUUUUUUUUUUGUACUGUCACGAGAAUUAGCGGCAGUUAACUACCGCUAGGUGUGAGCGGCUAUUAACUGCCGCAGGACACUUAGAAAAUUUUUCCAAACUUCAUUUGGCAGUGCUUCUGCCCAAUUUUUUUUUCUCAAUUUUUUUUUUGUUUGUUUAUGUUAUUAUAUGAUAUUAGAUACAUGUUUAUUAAUUAGUUUACAAAUUAUAUGUUGUUUAUUUAUAGAUACGGUUGAGAAUGCAGAUGAUGAUCCGGGUGAUCGAAAACCUAGUGUUGCCGAUUCCGUUAAGGUUGAAGCUCCUAUUAAGGUCGAAGCUUCCGUGAAGGUUGAAGCUUUCGUUAAAGCAGAGGCUUCAAGCGUCAAUUCCGAUGUGUGUGAACUUCGUGACAACUAAGUGGACACGGCUCAUUUAUUUUCGACACGAGAUACAUGGAAAGAUAAAGAGGAAUUGCUCGGUUGGGUCCGUCGACAAGCAAAUAGGGCUGGAUUUACGGUUAUCAUUAGAAGAUCUUGUGAAGGUAGAAAUGCUAUGUUAGAGUUGAUUUGUGAACGGAGCGGCGAACACAAAUUACCGAAGAGAAAAGUGAAGCAUGAAGCAACGGGAUCAAGAAAAUGUAGGUGGUUGUUCAAGGUGCGUGGAUAUGUCGUGAGGGAAAACAAUGCUUGGAAAUUGGCUAUUCUUAAUGGCGUUCACAACCAUGAGAUGGUGAGGUAUGUAGCUGGGAACCUUCUUGCCGGAAGAUUAAUGGAGGACGACAAGAAGAUUGUACAUGACUUGAUCGAUUUUUCAGUGAAACCAAAAAAUAUUUUCACAAAUUUGAAGAAGAAAAGGAAAGAGUCCAUGAAAAAUAUCAAGCAAGUCUACAAAGAACGUCAUAAAUUCAAAAAGGCAAAAAGGGGUGACUUGACGGAGAUGCAAUAUCUAAUCACAAAGUUGGAAGAGAAUGGAUAUGUUUAUUACGUAAGAGAAAAAAGGGAAAGUCAAACCGUUCAAGACAUAUUUUGGACUCAUCCAAAAUCGGUAAAGUUGUUUAACAAUUUUCCGACUGUUUUGAUAAUGGAUUCCACGUACAAAACCAACUUGUAUAGGAUGCUAUUGUUUGAAAUAGUUGGAGUCACCUUAACUUAUUUGACAUAUUCGGUUGGUUUUGCAUUUAUGACGUCGGAGAAGGAGGAUAACUUUACUUGGGCUUUGAAAAUGUUGCUUAAACUUCUUGGACCAAAUAGUGAUAUGCCUAAGGUGGUAGUGACCGACAGGGACACGGGUAUGAUGAAUGCCGUAGCAAAUGUUCUCCCCGGUAGUAGUGCAAUACUUUGUUAUUUCCAUGUUGGCAAAAAUGUUAGAUCAAAAAUCAUCACCGAUUGUAAAGUUAAACAAAAUAUUGUUGUGGUGGAUUGGCAAAAGAAGAUUGUCUACGAGGAGAAGCAUAGUAAGUUAGUUGAUACCAUAUUUGAUGCAUGAGAAAAAUUGGUUGAAUCUCCUACUCAAGAGUUAUAUGCGGGUAAUCUAGUGGAAUUCCAAGAUGCUUGUAAGGAUUAUCCAAAGUUUCUUCACUAUGUUGAAACUACCAUUUUGAAGCCUUUUAAGGACAAACUAGUGAGGGCAUGGACGGACCUUGUGUUACAUCUUGGGUGUAGUACCACAAAUAGAGUUGAAGAAGCUCAUGAUGUGGUGAAUGAAUAUUUGUCCACCUCCAAAGGUGAUUUGGGUACAUGUUGGCAAAAAAUAUAUGAGAUGUUGGCAAACCAAUUUGGGGAGAUACAAUCAUCGUUUGGUAGGAGUGUUACGAUCUUGGAACAUAGGUACAAAGAUGUCACUUUGUACUCCGGGUUGGGGGAUCACGUGUCUAGACAAGCCAUGAACUUUAUUUUUGUGGAAGAAGAGCGUGCUAGGAAAACCUUGUGCAUCGAGAAGAAAACUUGAGGUUGUGUUCAAAGGAUGUCGUAUGGCCUACCUUGUCCAUGCUUCAUUGCUAUGAAAAUCCGUCACAACAAGUCCAUUCGAUUGGAUGAGAUACACCCGCAUUGACAUAAGUUGUAUAUGGGUGAAGAAGAAAGUAAUGAAGAUUUUUUUUCUGUCGCGGAGGAGUGGCGUGGUAUCCAAAAACGUCUCGAAAGAGUUCCGUUCCAAAUGAAACUAGAAAUCAAAGAGGGUUUGCGGUUGUUAGCGUUUUCGGAGAGCACAAUUUUGUCACCACCUCCAAGAAAGGUGCCAACCAAAGGAGCUCCCAAAAAAAUCAAAACUACACGUAGGAUCCCAUCUUCGUGAGAGACUAUUGAUUCUCAACAUCCGAAAAGUCAAUCUUCCCCACGAAAAAAAUCUUCACAACCUAAAAGAAAAGAUGCUCGCAUUGGCAUUUCUCCGGUUCCGGUUCCUAAGCCUAGCUUGGUUUCAAGAAAUUAUGAUCCAUCGAAUCCUAUGAAUUACAUGCCAAAAUUCAUGAGACCAUACAUUGAGGGAAUUGUGGAUGUUAUUGGUGACGGACAUUGUGGGUUUAGGGCUAUAGCCGAAUCCGUGGGUUUGAUGGAAGAAAGUCAUGUUAUGGUGCGGAUAGCACUUAUUAAAGAGUUGAAAGAACAUAGGAGCAAAUACAUUGAGAUAUAUGCAAGCGAGCCCCGCUACAACUACAUCUUGGAUGGAUUGCAUCCUCCCAAAAAUCCUAUUAGUUUUGCACCUCCCGACAAAUGGUUGACAUUGCCGGAUAUGGGACACAUCGUUGCAUCAUGUUACAAUAGGCCGGUGUUAGAGACGACUACCCACUUAGACUAGAUCUCCGAGACUUUUUUCCCACUUAGAGGUCCCCCUCCGGUUAACCUGAAAAGCAACAUUAUUUUCCUUGGUCUAAUCCGAAAUCAUUUUUUCCUUCUUUCGUUGAAAGAUGGUUGCCCACUACCUUCAUCAUCCACGGAGUGGAGGCUUCACAGGAGUGAAGAGGCGGCAACAUGAGAGGAUGAAUUCUUGGAUCAACACGAUCGUUUCUGAACGCUCAUAGACAUAGAGCUAAAAGAGAGACCCCGAUUCCACCAAAGAAACCAACAAAUCAAACAAUCCUAUUAUGCUUGAUGACACUCCGGUUAAAGCAAACACCAAUUGUGAAGAUGUUCUGGAACAUUUAGAUGAUUUGCUUUUAUUAGAUGAAAUGCGACUCUUUUUGGUCGGUGUUAAUUCAUUUUUUGGUCGAUACGCGCCGACGUAUUUUUUUGGGAUAUAUAAUGUAAUGACCAAUUUUUUUGGGUGAUAUGUAACUAACCUUUAACUAAUUAUAUAUAUAUAUAUAUAUAUAUAUAUAUAUAUAUAUAUAUCAAUAUAUUUGAGUUUCGCAUUUAUUACAAAUUAAUGUACUUUACGUGUAAUGUGUUGCAUAUUGUGGAAAAUUUGACGAAUUUCAAACAAUUGUGAAACGUUAACGCAUUAUCGGUUUUGUGUAAUAUUACCGAAUAAUUGAUAAACUAUGAAAUGUUGAUGUUUGGGAUUGCUGGAUGUUGUUGUUUCAGUUUGAUUCAUGCGGAAUUGGCGUUUGAAAUUAUAGGUACAAACAGGCCAAAAUGGCUGGAAAAACCAUGGCAGACUGCACUAAUUCUGUUUACUGAUGUGAACGGCAGUUAAUUGCCGUUAGUGCCAGCGGGUGUUAACUGCCGGCGUAUUAUUGAACGAUUGUUAAUUGCCGCUAGAGGCAAUUAUGUCAUUUACUUGUGUCAUUGUGAAGUUUUCUAUGUCAGAAAAGCAAUUUUCUUCAAUUGAUAUGUUUAAAUGGGUUUGACCCACAAGGCUAACCGAUCAUACCUGUAUUUUAUUAUGAGUUGAGUUGUAAAAAAAGCAUGAAAAAAUGAUUUAUCUUUCUGAUCUAGCCCUCUAGUAUGUAUUUAACAUAGACUGGCCUGCCUGGAAAGUUCUUAUGUUGCAUCUUUUUUACAAAUCUUUAAAAUAAAAAAAAAUAAAAAAACAUAGGCUGGCCUGGGCCACUAAGCUUUCAGAUGCCACAUUAAAAAUAUAAAAAUAAUAAAUAAAUCUAACAUCUUAUUAGGAUAAAUGGGUCAAACUAAAAGAUGUGGUUUAUUUGAUGAAUGUUAAUUUAGGUGGUAUGCAUUGAUUUUCAUAUGAACAUAAUGUUGAAUAAAUCCUUGUCAAUCAAAAUUUUACAUGACAUAAAUAUUUGAAUAUAGUUUUGCAAAGAAUUAAUUUGUUUCAUUUAUCACUUUCGAUGUGUGUGAAAAAAGAGCAGCUUUGUUGUACAUUGCAUUUAUAUUUCUUGAAAAAAGAAUGUUAAUAAUAUUCAAACAUGGAUUGGAUUAACCCAUCAAACUAUAUAACCACUUAAUACUUAAGUCGAGCUCAAUUUUGACAACUUAUUUAGCAAACGAAGAUUGCUCUUUACAUCUAAAGAAUUGCUCUUCCAUUCCUCAAAAUCACCUAAAUAGCCUAUAACGACAGUAACCGACAUGUUAAAAAGUUAACGGCAGUUAACUGUCGUUAGGAGUAUUGAGAGUAAUUUUGAGGUGUGGGAGAUCAAUUCUUUAAGUGGGAAAACCAAUCUUCUUAGCAAACACGUUGACCCACUCAAGCUCAAUUAUAAGUGCGAACUCACCGAUUCGAGAUGGAGUGAGCUCAGGCCAACCUAUUUGACAAUUCUACUUUUCAGUAUGACAAAUCGAUCCCAAAUUGUCGCUCUCUAUAUUUGCUAUUUUCCCCUCUAUUUAGGUCGCCAUAAGGUUUUUCUUCCUUCUCUUCCCGCUCCUUCAUUUCAAAAACAUCAUAAAAAAAAAAAUCAUAAUUUUCAUUUUUCUCAAUAAGUAAAAUCUCAUUAAAACCAAUCCGAGCACAAGACGAGAGUCCAGAAGAGAGAUAAAAACAAAUAUCAUAUAAAUGAAAGAGAGCUAAUAGUGAUAUUUUUUUAGUUUAACGUUUGUACAAGAUCAUUCUUUUUAUUUUUUAGUCUCAAAUUGAUAUAUAUAUUUUUUUUGUGGUGUCUGGGGUUCGACUCCAAACCUUACAUAUAUUAUACAUUGUCAACUGAGUUAAGAUCACGAGAACAACAAAUUGAUAUUUUUGUUAGUUAUAAUUACACCUAAUUCUUUCAGUGAUAAACCAUAAACAUCAUUAUUCUCUUUUCAUCAAACUCAACUCCGUAUUAUUAAUUUUGUUUCUCUCAAAUCAUUGUUCAACUUCUGUAAGGUGAAGUGUCUCUAUCUAUCGUGAGAAUGUGAUGGAAAUAAUUAAAAAAGAAGUGGUGUUUAAUAUAUAUCCCUUUCACAAGUCUUCGCACUAAAUAGUGUGUAUAUACCAACAAAAAAAUGUUGGUUUUUCUACGAAGACCGUAAGGCCAACUGGCCAAGCCAAGUGUCAUGUUCCCAUGUUGGUUUCCUACUUGUUAAUUUUCCACAAUACUGACAAAAAAAGGAUCAUGAUAUACACAAGUCAUCGAUUAAAUAUUGAUUUCUUAAAAGAAAUAAAAAUAGAUUGAUAUUGAUUUUAUUCUUUUCACUGGAAAUAUCGAUAUUACAUUCAACAAAUAAAAAAAAUAGGGAAAGGGGAUUAUAUUUCAGUUUAAGGUAGAUAACAACAUAGCGUUCAAGGAACAUAGCUUUCUCUAAGAACACUAGCAUGGAUGGGAUGUGAAACCUCCAAAAAAAUAUCGAUCUUAUCCAAACUUGAUGAAAUGAAAAAAGUCACAUUCACUUGCUUUAAACAACCACGUGCUACAAUCAAUUUAUCUAUUCUUUUACGUUAAAUAUGAUUUUGUCAACGAAAAUUUGACAAUAAACCAUAAACUAAGAUUAUAGAAAUACAAGUCUGAAGUUUCUUCGGUCCAUAUAAAAUCUGUAUCACAAAAAGCAUAUUUACCUAAUUCUUUAUACAUUAAAUACUCCCUAACGUUUUUGAUAUAAGAAAAUGUUCAAAAAAAGUUUAGGUCAUAUUUGAAAAUGUUACAACUUUUAAAGUAUAAUUAUUGUUUAAAAGACUUUUAUACACCUCAUUUACUGAUUAUUAUUUUAUUAUUAGUGGAUGUAACUUUCUAUAAGGAUAUAUUUAUAAAAAUAUUUAAAAAGUUAAAUCAAUUAAUGAUUGUAUUGAUUUUGAUGUUUUUGUUUGCUUCUUAUAAUAAGGAUCAGAUGGAGUAAGAUAUAUUAACGAAAGUCUCACAAUAAAUCAAAAGUCAAGAGUGCAGAAAUACUAGGUGGAGUCUGUAUUUUCUCAAAGUUAAUCUUUCAACCUAAAUCAAAUAAACAUCACACCAAAAUGGAAAAUAAAAAACACACCGCAAAGAUGAUAAAUAAAAAAAAAUAAAGUCGUGCAAAGACGAUGAAAUCACAAAAACAAACUAUAGAAGACUCAAAAUAUGUGAAAAACACUUGUUUAACUAAUGAAGAAGGAAAAAUAAUUCGGAGGGAUGAUUUUGGAUCAAAAUUGACCUUAAAUCAUUUCUUUGGUAGAUAAAAAGUGGCGACAACUAGAGUUUAGGAAGGAAUGAAGCGAGAGUAGCGAGGACUAAUAGCACUCCAUUAAUGUUGUUACAUCCACUUUGCAUAACUAAAGUUUUUGCUAUCUCUAAAUCUAACCGUGAAAAGACUUACCAACAACUAUAAAAAAUAGCAUCAAUAUCAAAGCCAUUGUAUUAUGAUAUCAAGUUUUUUAAGUGUCGUUUUAGAAAAUUAAUACAAAAAUAGCGAAGUGUAUUUUAGCAUUUUUUUUCUUCCUAUUAUACCCUCAAUGUAAUCCACAAAUAUAUUCUUAUUUUUUGGCACAUACUUUAUCUUCUCAAUAAAUUUAAUAUGUUAUUUUUAUCUCAUAAAAAACAAUUGUCAAAUGAUCAAAUGAAUCUGCAACCAUUUCUCCAUCUUCACCUUCCAUAAACAAUUCCAAUGAGUCUCUCUUUCUUCAUUUUGAACAUUCAUGGAGUUUUCCAAAUAUACAACAUUAAUUAGUUUUAUUGAAAAAGAUAAGAGUAACCAAACAAAGAAAAAGAUAUGAUUAACUAACAAAAUAAUUGACAAAUCGUACCCUUAAAAUACGAAAACGACAGUUAAAUAAGAACAAAAAAUUCACCCUUAAACGACAAUUAAAAAGGAACGGAGAGAGUAUUUAUUUAUGACAUAUUAACAUUUUUCUUAAAAAAAAAUCAAAUAUAGUAACAAGUUCUUUUUUUCUACAAAGACCAUAAGGUCAACUGGCCAAACCUAAGUGUCAUGUUCCCAUGUUGGUUUCCUACUUGUUAAUUUUCCACAAUACUAACAAAAAAAAAAAAAUGUAAUUUUCUCCUACGAAGACCAUAAGGCCAACUGGCCAAGCCCAUGUGUCAUGUUUCCAUGUUGGUUUCCUACUUGUUAUUUUCCACAAUACUGACAAAAAAAAAAAUGAACGGAUUCUAUCAGCCAAAAUGCAAGUAUUGCAAGUUGCAACAUUUUAAAAUUAGUAGGUUCUCUUGUUUGACUUUGGUACCCAGCAGGAAAGUAGUUGAAACCAUCGAUUAAGCUUUGUUUCUAUAUUCUUAAUUAAUCUUCAUCAAUUAAUCAAUUAGUAAGCAAUAAAUCAUCAUCUAUUGUUGUAUAUUAAAUCAUAAUCUAUUGUUGUAUAUUAUUAUUGAUUAAAUUAAAAGAGUUGAAACCAAUCAAUUAAACUUUAGUGUGGUUAAUGAACUUCACAAAAAUAUGAAUAGUUUGGUAGAACUCGAGUUUUAUUGUUAAGUUGAAGAAUUCAUCUUACGGUCGAACUUCAGAUUAGGAGGGUACUUAAGAUAAUGAAAUUGAAAAAUUUAGUGAUUAAUACAGAUAAUAGUGAGCAAUAGUCUUCUUCCACUUAUCCGUCCAUUUUUGUUGAAAAUAUUCACACACAAAACACAAGAUCAAUGGACGUAGCACAAAAGAAAAAAUCAAUGGACGUAGCCAUGCUUUCCCAUUCCAUCUCCAACAUCCUACAAUGGAUGAACUCCCUAAAACCCCUUGCAAAUAAGCUAUCAAGAAUUGACAUCAAGCAGCUUGAAAAAGAUAUUAAGCAGAUCAAUGACAAAGUCCAAACACACCACUCCGACAGCCUUCUUUUUCCUCAACCUUGGCUUCAAAAGGUUAAAGAAGUACUCAUCGAUUUGAAUGAUUUGAUGGAGGAUCUCCGACAAAAGGAGAGUACAAGUGUUGGCUUAAAAGUAAAGGAUCGUUUCAAAGCCACGCUCCAAGUGAAGAAAGCCACAGACGAACUCAAACGCUUGCUGAAUGAGGAAGCCACAGACGAACUCAAACGCUUGCUGAACGAGGAAGAUGCAAAGGGAGCAGCAGCAGCAGCAGUUGAUACAGAUGAUAGAAGAAAGUUUGCAUACGAUGACUUUGUAGCUGUUGGAAGAGAAAAUGAGAAGAAAGAAAUUAUAGAUCAACUGCUGAACCUGAAGAGCGCCGAUACGGAUGCUGCUGUUCCUGUUUUUAUUGCUAUUGUUGGUGUUACUGGAAUUGGGAAAACAAAACUUGCUCAUCUCGUUUGUGAGGACGAGCAAGUCAAAGCGAAUUUUGAAUUCGAACAAAUUUCGAUGAAUGGUCUCAUGGGCGAAACCUUGGAUGUUGAAUCCUCACAUCAGAUACCUCACCAUGAGAUACCUACCUGCACCAUGACGACCACCACCAAUGGCAAACCCCGCUUACUUAUUAUAGAUGAUUUGAGAAUUGCGAUUAAUAAGCAUGAUGACCUCGAGAAGUUACAGAAGAAAUUGAUGGAGGUUGCUGGUGGCCGUACCAAUACCGUGAUACUCAUUACCACAUGUAGCAACCAUGUCGCCAACAAUAUUGGUGCUACAUAUGUUUUGAAGUUGCAGGGGCUUAAUCAAAAGGAAUCUUGGUCAUUGUUUCAGCAGAUUUAUGGACCAAUUACUUCAACCAAAAAAGCACAAAGCACCAUCGAACCCGAAUCCAAACCCAAACCUGAGCAGAGCUUGGAGAUCAUGAGGGACUGUGGUGGGGUCCCCCUUUUGAUAGUGAUCGUUGCAAAGGUGAUGACGAAGCAUAGUGGUGUUGGUGGUGAAGAAUGGAUUCGGGAAGCACUAGAAAAGGUGAAGCUUAUCUAUUACGACGAUCUUCCCACUUAUCAGAAAUUAUGCUUUGCAUAUUGUUCAUUGUUUCCAGAAGAUUAUUUGAUUGAUGCAGAGAGAUUGAUUCAACUCUGGACUGGUGAAGGGUUUCUUAUCAAUCCAGAACAACAAUUUGGUCAUGCUUGUUUCGAAGACUUUGUUCCUUUGGUUUUCCAUCAAGCGGAAGAAGAAAGUGACCACCAGAAGUACUGCGGUGUUGUGAGGAACAACAUGAACAACUACUUAUAUAGAAUGAAUCGGUUAAUGCAUAAACUCGCAAGACAAGAAAUUGCUGGUGACGAAAACAUCACCGUGGAUGUGAUGGGGGAGAGAGUUCGUGGCGGGACGCUGCGAGUUUCGUUCAAUUUUGCUUUAGAUCUUUCAUGUGAGAUCCCUGAUUCGGUGUUUCAGACAGCAAAGAAACUAAGGACCAUUCUUUUGCCAUACAACAUUAACAACCCUCGUCUUCCGCACGAGGUAAAGAUGACAACGUCAACUUGUGAUAAGAUCUUCGACACCUUCAAGUACUCGCUACGCGUGUUGGAUCUACAUGACUUGGGGAUCAAGACAGUUCCAAGCUCUAUUGAGGAUGUGAAGUACUUGAGGUAUCUAGAUCUUUCACAUAACAACAUGGAGAAGCUUCCUAGUUGCAUAACAAAUCUUAUCCACUUGCAAACGUUGAAACUGUCUCGAUGUCAUGUCCUCAAAGAAUUGCCAAAAGACAUGGAUGAUUUGAGUUGCCUUAACCAUCUUGACUUAGAUGGAUGCUUGGAUCUAACUCAAAUGCCAAGUGGAAUAAGUAAGCUCACUUCUUUGCAAACAUUGUCACUUUUCGUAGCCAGCAAGAAACAAGUCACGGGAGGACUAAGAUCACUCACAGAUCUUAACAAUCUGAGGGGCCACUUGGAAAUUAUGCAUCUGGAACAAAUCAAGUUCUCUCCAUCAAAAGAAGCUGCUAAAGAUGAUUUUUUGAAAAAUAAACAACACCUUGAGUUCUUGACUCUAAGAUGGGAUCACGAUGAGGAGGACGAAGAAAGCAAUGUCGAGAAAGACAAGAAAUCGCUUGAUUGUCUCCAGCCACAUCCAAAUCUGCAAGUGCUAUUAGUUGUCGGGUACAACGGUCACACAUUGUCUAACUGGCUCGCUUCACUUCAAUGCCUUGUUAAGUUUACCUUGAAUGACUGUCCCAAAUGCGAAUUUCUCCCACCAAUGGAUGAGCUUCCACAUCUCAAGGUUCUCCAACUUCGGAGAUUGGACUCUUUGAAAUUUAUUGCAAAGAACAAUCAAGCUGAUACACCUAUAUUCUUUCCAUCCUUGAAGGAACUAACAAUCUCAGAUUGUCUUAAACUAAAAGGUUGGUGGGAAAAUGACAUAUGGGACAAUGAUAGACCAUCUUUCAGUUGCAUUUCAAAGCUAAAUAUCCAAUACUGUCCUCAAUUAGCUUGCAUGCUGCUCUAUCCCGGUCUUGAUGAUGAGCUCGUUCUGGUGGAGUCGAACGUAAGAUCAAUGAGGGAUACAAUGCAUUAUGCUGACAGUACUGAAAGCACUGAAACAUCUAGUUCACAAUCACAACCCUUCUCGAAAUUGAAGUCCAUGGUAAUUGAGCGCAUUGACCAAUCUCCACCAGAGAGUUGGCUUAAAAACUUCAUUUCACUUGAGGAACUUCACAUUAGAGAUUGUUUUAUUUUGGAGUCUCUACCACAAGGUUUCAAGUUUUUAAGCUCACUCAUAUCACUUUCUAUUGAAAGAUGUGAACAACUUGUUCUGGACAUUGACAAAUCCGCCGGAACUGAAUGGGAUGGUCUGACUGAAUGGGAGGGUCUGAAAAACCUUCAAUCUCUUACAUUAAGGAGUAUUCCAAAACUGAAGUCCCUUCCAUGGGGAGUUGAAAACGUGAAAACUUUGAAAGACUUGAGGAUUUAUGAUUGUCAUGGUUUAACUUCUUUACCAGAAAGUAUAGGUAACCUCACUUCACUUGAAAGACUGGUUCUUUCUGAAUGCAGAAAUUUAGAUUCUCUUCCCAAAGGAAUGGAAAUGCUUCAGUCUCUAAAUACUUUGAUUAUUAUGGAUUGCCCUUUGUUAUUGCCAAGGUGUCAACCAGACACAGGUGAUGAUUGGCCACAAAUUGCUCAUAUCAAAAACAAACUGGUGAAGGAAAAUCCUCAAGACUUCAUGGAUCACUUGUGAUCAAGAUUUGAAUUCUACUUUUACUGAUUCUUCUUUCAUGAUUUAUUUCUUGUAAUGUUUAAGUUAUUUAUUAGUGUUGAUUUUCAGAAAUUGCUAGACCACAGAAUUAGAGGAUGAAAUUAUAUUAGUAUGUUUACUAUUUUUGAAAACACCAUCCAAUAGCUGGUGAAAAAUACAUGUUGGUGAGAAAUGAUAUUUGUACAAUGGGAUAACUUUUAGACAACUAACUGAUAAGGUGAAAACCUUCUGCAAGUCUUAAAAGCUGUCAUAUAUGCCCACAAACUUUUUAAACCAAUCCUUCCUAAAUGAAGCCACUGUUUUCUCAAGAAUUUGUUUUAAUCGACGAUUUGACACUUCUACUUACAAUUACAUUAGACAACUCGUUGCAACAGAACAUGGGCACACAUUUGUCCUUCAUUACAUCUUUUUUUUUUCUUUUGUCUCUGUCUUUGUGAUUCCAAUAUUACAACACAAGGCAUUUUUUUAUCAAAUUAAGGCAGCCUUCCUACAUUCGUCUUCCAACUUUUAUCCUGAUAAGCCAAAUGUCAACCUUGUUAUUCGAAUAAAUUAGAAUGAAGAGUUUAAGGCUCAAAUUCAUAACAGUAUAUAGAGAAUAUAUGCAGGAGGUAAAGUUUCCAUAUAGCAUAUUAUUAAAGAAACUACACUCAAUAUUUUAUCAUAUAUAAAUGAGUAAUUUGUGAAGUACUGCAUUAAUACUAUUAGAUUAAUCCCAUAAAAAACAAAUUAAUACUAUAAGAAAAAUGCUUCUUCAAAAUAUAAAAAUUCUAUAAGAAUACUGAAACAUGACAGAAAAAAGACUUAAGUCAGAGUGAAACACUAUUGGAGACCUUAUGAGAUUAUAUUUUAUGGUUGUUGCUUGUAAUGCUAUCUAUUUUAUCUUUCUCCCCCCAUCUAUUAGAUUACCCUAUUUCUCAGACCUUGCACUGCACCUUGAAACACUACAAUUCGAGACCCAGAUUAUUCUAAAACUUUUAAUUCAAAGGCAGACGUUAACAACUCAUUGAUAAUGUUUAAGCUGAUGCUUUCUAUUAUACAGGUUGUUGAAAGAUUGGUGAUUAAAGGACAUUCAAGCUCUUGUUGUUGACAAAGGAACUAAAAUGGUCAAGGUUAGUGAAUAUGCCUUGUUAUGUGCUUGCCAUCUCAGAGGCACUUUGAUAAACUUGAAGCAUCAAGGAUGAAGAUCUCGUUGCAGGACCAAGUUGUGAAAGGACAGAAGUUGUGCUAUGGCACGUCUCCGUGGUUUAGGUUGUAAACUUUUGUCUUCGAUUAUUUUCUGCUACGUUGUUAUGUAUUAUAGCGGAUUGAAAAAUGUCUGUUAGUUCUAAGAACAUGUGUCGUAUCUUUAUUUCCGUUGUGAAUAGUGCAAGCAUACACUAAUAAUUAGUGAUUGUGAAUCAAUGACUAUUUAUCGACUAGUAAUCGACAUUUUAAGUAUAUUUUUCACAAUCUAGCUUAAUCACGUUUUGAUUAGAUACACUAAAAAAAUAAAAUUAUAAUAAUAUAAAUAGCUAGGAAGAAACAACGAAAUUGCUAGGAACUUGCGGCUAGAGAUUUACUUUAAAAUUAUUGCGGCCAUAUCCUAGGCAAAUAGUUAGGAAACUUAAAUUUUGAAUAGUAUUUUGCUAGGUAUCAGUUUGAAAAUAGCUAGGAAAUUCUAAAUAUUAAUUGCCAGUUAGCUAGGAAAUAUUUUGAUAGGUAAUUUGACGCCCAAUCCAUGCUACGACCAUCACAACUAAAUGCUAGGUAAAUAAGCAAAUAAGCAUAAAAAAAAAAAAUCAGAGUACACUUUAUAUCUACCAAUACUACAUGAAAAAAAAAAAACUAAAAAUAUGAAAACGUAGUAAACUAUCUCACUAGACAACAAUAAACUCAUAAUUAACAGCAAUCUACGAAACAAAAAAUACCAUAAGGAUAACAAAACAUAACAUUACCUUCAAACUGUGAAAGCCCAAUGACAGAUUUUUGUGUGCUAAGAGCAGUCUCUAUCCAAUGUCAAGAGUCAGAGUUUUUCACGAAAUUUUUAAUGCUUAGAAAGAAGAAUAAAUGAAGGAAAGUAGUAACGUAGAAAAAGAAAAUACAAAAAAAGGAUAUUACCUUAUACCCAAACAUGAAGAUAGUGUUGAUAAUAUAUAUAUUUUGGAGCGCCAGACAUAUAAAAAUCUGUGUUAAAUGUGACAAUACCUAAAGUAAAGACUAUGAGUAAGUCUUGGCAUUUUUAACCGUAUAAAGGCAUAUGAGUAAUGAGAAACCAAAGUAAACAUAUAUUUUUGAAACACAAUUACACAAAAUAAAAUGGAAGAGAAGGGAAUUUGUUGAUGAGAUCAAUAACUACAUUUUUCGGGGGAGAUCAAUAAUUACACGUUGUCGGUGAUUCUAGGUGAAUAAAUGACAUAUUUGAGUUUUAAUUCUCCAUAUUCAGAGAACUUGCACUACUACAAUAAUGAUAUUUAGUAACACAACGAUGGUAAUAUGAGUAAAAGUGUAACUAAAUAACCAUUAUUCGUAACAAUAGUUGAAAAAUAUUGUGACAGCGGGGACACUACUUUUAAACUAUACUAUGUAUAAAGAGAAUACAUGAUUUUGGGGUGGUUUAUUCACUUCCAAUAAUGCCCUUAAAUAAACUGGCUUAUAACAAUACGAUAUUGUUGGUGUCAUUAAAAAAGAUAAGAAUUUAUAUUAUAUAUUUUUAUAUUGUUGGUGUAAUUGAAAAAAAUACAUUUAGUUUGAUACAGUAUGAAAGUGAAAAAUAACUAUACCUAUAAUUUUAAUAAAAAAAUUCAUAAAAAUUACUGGUUAUAAUUUAUACGCAUUAUCUCAAUAAAAAAUGCAGACAAACUAGCACAAAGUACCCGUCUUAAUGCUAAUAUUUUAUAAUAUUUUUGGGUCAACAUAACACUAUCUUUUGGUUCAAGAUACUCCAUAUUUUACUUCACCAUGUCUCUUUCACUCGUUAUCUUUGCUUCUCAUUCCCUCAGAGAAAUUUCGUUCUCGACCAAUGAUUCAUAAAAUGUGACAGUGGUAACACACUAAUUUCAAUGGAAUCUACGCUGCGUAUUCUCUCACGAAUAUUCAAUCUCGCUGGUUCAUGGUUUUGUUCUCAAUCAUUGUUUAUGAUGGUUAUCUUGAAUUUGCGCUUGAAAAAUUUGAUCUUCAUCUCGAAUCUCGAUUUUCAAUUGAUUCACCUUUAUUAUUCAUCUUCGAUUCGGUUUCAAUGGAUUCAUGAUUUCAAGUUUAUUUUGGUUUCAAUUGAUUAGCUUAAAAUUUUGAUAAGGAUUCAUUGAUUUUUGCUAUCUUUGUUGUCGCUUGCCGAAAAAGCAUCGUGAAUCGUCGCGCUUGCGGUUGUUGGUACUUGCUUUUCAAAGUUCGUAUUUCAAUUUUAUACAAAACCUAUUGUUCGCCGUUUUAGAUUCGCCGUAACACAUCAAAAUUGUUACUGAAACUCUUUAGUAAAAUGGCCUUUACACAAUUAUUUUAAUGUUGCUAGAUAUAAUUAAUAACAUUUUUCAUGAUUUAGUUACAUUUGUCAAAUGUUACUAAAUCUCAAUUAUGAUCUAGUUUGAACACAAGAUUUGAGCAUAUAUGUAUGUCUCUUCUGGCUUUAUCCACGACAUGCACCAGGCCGUGCUCUGCCAUGACCAAAAUUUGUGCAUCCAUGGUUUGCCAUCUCCUCAAAAUUCUAGUGCAAACAUAGCUAAAGACAUAAGAAAAUUAGAUGAACGAGAUAAGAAUAUAUAAUGCGAUAAAAAAAGGGAAUGUAGACAAGUACAAAUUUAACGGCACAAAUAAGUACAUACCAAACAUACUAUAUUUCCAUAUUCCAUGCACCUUGACUGUAUGUUGUGAUCACAUUAUCUCGUUGGAUUCAUCGAUCCUACUAAGCCAUCAUACUUAUUCAAACAUAUACUUAGCUAGCAUAUUCAUCAAGUCAUAUUCCUUCCUUCAAAAAAGCAAGCUGCAUCAACAAUUAACAUACUAACAUAACAAUUAACGUACCAAUAUAUGUCGCUCUAAAAAAAAUUACUAACAUUUCUCUUAAAAAAGUGCUUUUAUACUAAUUGGUCAUCUUCAGAUAUCCUCUCUUCGCCUUGUUUAUUUUGCAAAUUUUACUAGAAAUAAAUCUGAAACUUUACUUAUAAAAGUUCAGUUUUUUCAAACCAGCCUAAACUAAUAUAAUCAAUUUAAAUUUCAUAAAUAUGUUUCUUUUUCUAAUAGGCCAGCAUGAUAGCUGCACCAAAAAUAUGGGAAUAUAUAAAAGCUUUUGUGAACAACAGUGGUCAAUGGUUCAUUACAAGACCUUUCUUUAUUUUUCCAUCGAUGGAACCUAUAAUAUUUGUGAUCGAACAAUGCAAAAACAGAUGUUACUGUUCAAAUUUUUCUGCAUAAAUUCUAUCAGAUUCCACAGUCUCUUACUGCAAUAUUUGAAUCAAAUUCCACAUGCAACUAGUUGAUAGUACUUAUGGUAUUCUAAAGCAUAUUAAUUGGUGUCUAACAAAAAUACCCUAGAGAAUUUAAUUAGCACUUGCAUGCUAUCAAAUACAUAUAUGACUUCAUGAAUGCAUAGUCAUAAUUAGUAAUAAAUAAUCAGUAAGUUUCAUUUGGCCAAUACUGUAGACUUGAAAAUCUCAAUGAAGAGUCGCAACUGUGAAGGUACAAGAACAAUCACCGGAAUACUUGCGAAUGACAUAGCUGUUAUUAUGACUCCUUCAUGUCCCUUUAAGAGCAUAGCAAGUGAAGCACAAAAGGAAACCAUCAUGGACACCACGGAGAAAAAAAGCAUAAUGAGAGCGAAAAGUAACUUAAGCGGCAAAGACUUUAGGAAAUCCUUUUCUGCAUAACGUGCCGUUAGAAUUCCAAUGAAGAGGAGGAUUGAAGUUGAGGAAGUGAAAAGAGAUAUUGCAUCUGCUAUUAUAAAAACAUUAAAUGUUUUGUCCUUCAAGAAGAGGGGAAUUCCACUGUCUUGAUUGUUUCCACCAGGGACAGUGAAAGCUGCAGCAAACAUGAUGGUUGUGAUGAGUGUAGCAACAAGUGUAAAUGAACCAGCUGUAUCUUUUGCCCAUUUUUCUCCAGCUUUCACUAGCUCCUUGUGACUUUCUGUAAAUAUCUCACGGGGCUUCUUAUCUUCUACGUUUUUGGCUUCCUUACACUUGGGGUGCACGAUUUUCUCCACUUCCUGCAAUCAUCCAUUUCAUAAAAUGAAGGAAAUUAAAUCCUAUGUAGUUAGUUUUAUGAUGCAGCCAGCUCCUGAAAUCCAUUUUGCUAUAAUUAAGAAUAUAUUUUUGGAUAAAUAGCUUAACUAACGUUUAUAACAUAAGUGUGUAUCAUAUAGGCACUUUGUAUAAACUAUGGUCAUGUCUAUAUAUAAACAAUUUAUUUUGCAAUUCAUAACAUAAACGCUUAUCAUGAUAAGUGUUUAUGUAUAAACCAUUUUUAUAACAAAAGAUAAAAUAAAGUUAAAUUGUUUUCGUUGAAGUUAUAACCUAUUUUUAUAGGUUAAACUAGAGAGCUUAAAGAAAUAAGGUGAAAACGGCUUGUGAUAUUUCAUUGGUUGUUUCUAUUAAUUUUCUCAAAUAUUACUCUCACUACUUAUGUCAAUAAAUAAGCUAAAAUAAGUCAAUCUAAACAUAUCAUAUUUCUAUAAUACAAGAUAAAAGCAAGUCAUACGGUUUUCACAAUAAACUGUUUUCAUAAGAAAUUUCUAAGACACAUGUCAUAAACCGUUUCUACAAGCUCUCUCAAACUGUCUCAAAAACAGUUAUAUAAAUAGAUAAAUUCAAACAAGUCAAUACAAGCAGCCAAGGGAGGAUCUUGCCCAUUUGAGUAGGUUCAGAUGACCCCUGUGAACUAAAAAUAAGAAAGCAUGUAUACUCCUAUUUAUUUUGCAUUUUGAACCUUAUGAUAUUAAUUUUGCACCAAUAUAGCUAAGAAAUUCAAGAACUCAAAAGUUUGAAACUCUAAACUAAGGUCAUAGAUACGCUACUGCAAGCAGAUCUUCUAUAUCACCUAUUAAAGCACGUAUAAGACUCAAACUACCCUAUUUUUGUGUGCAUGUGAAAAUAUAUACUAUGAGACAUGUAUUACUUACCUGAAACCAUAAAAUCUCUCUUUGCAUUUGGAGAGCAGGACCAGAUCUACGGUGAAGAUCAAAGGAGGGCCCUAAAUUUCCAGCAAGAUGUAAGAGGGUAUUAUCAAAUGCAUCUACACGACAUCUAACAAUUUCCUUUCGUCCAUUUACACUUGCAUCAUGUAUGAGUUGGAAGACUUCUUUUCUACGGUUCAAAAUUGCAUGUGAAAAUAUGCCUCUUUUAUUUUUAUCAAUAGACCAUAAGAGGUCAGGGUUAGCUUUUUUCAUUGCAACUAUGAACUCAAUAUUUCCAUGCUUAGCUGCUU
Molecule: long non-coding RNA, 44450 nt
Filed under: Medicago truncatula (barrel medic)
Lineage: Eukaryota; Viridiplantae; Streptophyta; Magnoliopsida; Fabales; Fabaceae
Description: long non-coding RNA (MTRU_LNC002959)
Source: RNAcentral